ACUGUUGAAAGUUUAGUCAUAGUUUUCUGUUGGCAGUUGACCUAGUCUUUAGGAGUUUUAAUUCUUUUUAAUUGCAGCAGUUUGCAGGUUGUUUGAUUUUUAGGAAUUAGUGGAGUAAAGAGUUAUGCUUGCUUUAGGAGUCAUGUGCUCUAUUUUUUUGGAGUAAGUUGAUAAUAGGACUGAUAUGUGUCCUGUUUAAAUGGAUUAUCUAUUAAGUAUUUGCCUAUAUAUAGGCUUGAAGUUAUGAAUAAAAUGACCAAGUUCUCCAGCAAAUUAUUUUCUCUUCUUACGUAUUUUUUGUUUUUCUCCUUCUAAAUUCUCUAUCAGUGGUAUCAGAGCCAGAUUAUCCUGAGAGUGACAACAAGUGAGGCAGCCACAUAUUUCUUUUCAGAUUAUCUCAUGGCUACUGAAAAUAAUUUUGUGCAAGCAGCAAUUCCUCACUUUGAUGGUCACUAUGACCAUUGGAGCAUGUUGAUGGAAAACUUCUUACGGUUAAAAGAGUAUUGGCCAAUCAUUUAGGACGGCAUUGGCACUCCGAUGGAAGGCGAAGUUUUGACAAAAGCUCAAAAGGCAGAGUUGGAAGCGAAAAAGCUAAAAGAUCUGAAAGCGAAGAAUUAUCUCUUUUAGGCAAUUCAUCGUCCCAUCUUGGAAACUAUUCUUUGCAAAGAAAAUUCCAAGGAUAUUUGGGAUUCCAUGAAGAAGAAGUAUCAAGGCUCAAGCAGGGUGAAGUGCGCACAACUUCAAGCUUUGAGAAAUGAUUUUGAAACAAUGGAUAUGAAGGAAGGAGAAUCUGUCACAAACUAUUGUGCUAAAACCAUGGAAAUAACCAAUAAGAUGCGAUUCCACGGUGAGAAGAUAAAUGAUGUAGCCAUUGUGGAGAAAAUUUUACGACCUCUUACAUCAAAAUACAAUUAUAUUGUCUGCUCAAUCGAAGAAUCAAAGGAUAUAGAUGAACUAUCUCUUGAUGAACUGCAAAGUUCUUUACUAGUUCAUGAACAGAAGAUGAACAGAAGUUUUGGAGCACAGGAGCAUGCAUUGAAGGCUUCUACUAAUACUUAUUCCAGCAACUAUAGAGGAAGAGGUAGAGGUAGAGGCCGAGGAAGAGGAAGAGAAAGAGGAGGAGGAGAUCGUGGAGAAAGAAAUUUCAUUAGAAGUUUCAAAACCAACACUGAUCAGUCUCAAGGCAGAGGUCGAAACCAUGACAAAUCCAAGGUAGAGUGUUACAGAUGUCACAAAUUUGGUCACUAUGCAUCAGAUUGUUACACUAGACUUCCUAAUGACAAAGAAAGAGAUGAAAGUGCCAAUUUUGUCGAAAAUAAGGAAGUAGAAACAUUGUUAAUGGCUAUCCAUGCUAGAACAGAACAUGAAUCUGAUAUUUGGUAUGUAGAUACUGGAUGCAGUAAUCACAUGUGCGGAAGCAAAUUUUCUUUUUCAUCUUUGGAUGAAAAGUUUCGUUCUACUGUGGCUUUUAGUGAUUGUUCAACUGUAAAAGUGAUGGGGAAAGGUGACAUCAAGAUUAAAACCAAGAAUGGUUUUGUGGAAACAAUUUCUAAUGUGUUGUAUGUUCCUGACUUGAAAAGUAAUUUACUUAGUGUUGGUCAGUUGUAAGAAAAAGGUUAUGUCAUCACUAUCAAGAAGUGAGAGUGUGAAAUUUAUGAUACUGAGAGAGGAGCUAUUGCACUAGUUCAAAUGAGCUCCAACAGAUUAUUUCUACUGAGGAUUGAUAGCAUUCAAUCUUGUUUGAUGGCUGAAGUAAAUGAUUCAUCAUGGCUGUGGCACUUCCGAUAUGGUCACUUGAGUUUUGGAGGCUUGAAGACACUCCAACAGAAAAACAUGGUCAGUGGUCUUCUUUAAAUUACAACACCUUCCAAAAUUUGUGAAGAAUGUGUUGUUGGCAAACAACCUCGCUCUCAAUUUCCCAAAGGAAAGUCAUGGAGAGCAAAGGAUGUUCUUGAGCUGGUACAUUCAGAUCUUUGUGGUCCGAUAAACCCAACGUCUAAUGGAGGUAAACGGUAUUUAAUCACUUUUACAGAUGAUUUUUCAAGAAAAACAUGGGCUUAUUCUAUGGAAGAAAAAUCUGAAGUUUUUUCAACAUUUAAAAGCUUCAAAGUACGUGUGGAAAAUGAAGCAGGAAAAACCAUUAAGGCUCUUCGAACUGAUCGUGGUGGUGAAUAUUGCUCAAAAGAAUUUGAAGUAUUCUGUGCAGAUCAUGGCAUUCGGAGAGAGCUUACAACUGCAUAUACACCACAGCAAAAGGGUGUGUUAGAAAGGAAGAACAGAACCAUCCUCAACAUGGUAAGAAGUAUGCUAUUGAGAGGAAGCAUUCCAAAAAUUUUCUGGCCAGAGUCAGUAAAUUGGAGUGUUCAUCUUUUAAACAGAAGCCCAACUUUUUCUGUUAAAAAUAUGACACCGGAGGAGGCAUGGAAUGGGAGAAAACCAACAGUAGAUCAUUUUAGAAUCUUUGGAUGCAUUGCAUAUGCCCAUGUGACGGAUGAAAGAAGGAAGAAACUUGACAAUAAGGCUGAAAAAUGUAUUUUUCUUAGUGUAAGUGAGUCUUCCAAAGCAUAUAAGUUGUUUAAUCUAUUGACUAAAAAGAUUGUUGUUAGCAGGGAUGUUACUUUUGAUGAGGAAAACAUUUGGGAAUGGAAUAGGCAGGCUAGUGACGCAAAACAAGAGCAAUUUUCAACACCUUGUACGUUUGAAAAUUUAUCAGAUUCAGCCCCUAUAACUCCACCACCAGAUGCUGUAGCAAAUGAAGAAACAACUCAAACUCUUGGGCGUGUUAGAAGAAGGCCUGUUUGGAUGAAGGAUUACAAGGUAACUGGAAUUGAAGAUCCAAUUACUCACUUUGCUUUGUUUUGAGAUUGCGAUCCUACAUGUUUUGAGAGUGCUGUAAAGGAAGAAAAUUGGAGAAAAGCAAUGGAUGAUGAAAUUGAUGCCAUCAAACGAAAUGAUACUUGGGAGUUGUCUGAUCUUCCAAAGGGACAGAAAACCAUUGGACUGAAGUGGGUGUUCAAAACAAAGUUGAAGGAAAAUGGCAAAGUUGAUAGGUACAAGGCACGUUUAGUGGCCAAGGGGUAUAAGCAACAAUAUGGGAUCGAUUAUACAGAAGUAUUUUCUCCUGUUUCUAGGCAUGAUACAAUUAGAUUGGUUAUCGCAUUGGAAGCUCAGAAUUCUUGGCCUAUUUUCCAGCUAGAUGCCAAGUCGGCGUUCUUACACGGACACUUGAAGGAACAUGCAUUUGUUGAACAACCCCCUGGUUAUGUUGAAAUUGGAAAUGAGCAUAAGGUUUAUAGAUUAAAAAAGGCCCUCUAUGGUCUAAAACAAGCUCCUCGAGCUUGGUAUAGUCGCAUUGAGGGCUAUUUUCUAAAAGUUGGUUUUUCGAAAUGUCCUUAUGAGCAUACACUUUUUGUUAAGAUUGGGGAUGAAGGAAAAAUGCUCAUUAUCUGCUUGUAUGUUGAUGAUCUCAUUUUUACUGGAAAUUGUGGUGCCAUGUUUGAGGAAUUCAAGAAGUCACUGAUGAAUGAGUUUGAAAUGUCCGACCUCGGAUUGAUGCAUUACUUUCUUGGCAUAGAGGUAGUGCAAUCUGGGAAAGGGAUCUUCAUUUCUCAGAAGAAGUAUAUAAAGGAAAUUCUAGAAAGAUUUCAGAUGAUGGAAUGCAAUCCAGUUAACACUCCUGUUGAACUUGGUUUGAAGCUUCACAAAGAUCCUACUGGAAAGAAAGUUGACAGCACACUUUACAAACAAAUCGUAGGCAGUUUGAUGUAUCUCACUGCUACAAGGCCUGACAUAAUGUACUUUGUGAGUUUAAUCAACAGGUACAUGGAGAAUCCCACAGAAAUGCACUUGCUGGCAGCCAAGAGAAUUCUCCGUUACUUGAAAGGAACGAGAGACUUUGGACUAGCUUAUAAGAAGAGUGAAAAGCCCAAUCUUCUUGGGUAUACGGAUAAUGAUUAUGCUGGUGAUCGCGAUGACAGGAAAAGCACUUCAGGCUAUGCUUUUAUGUUCGGGUCCGGUGCUAUUUCAUGGUCGGCUAAGAAGCAACCAAUUGUCACUUUGUCUACUACAGAAGCCGAGUUUGUUGCUGCGACUGCUUGUGCUUGUCAAGCUAUUUGGUUGAGGAGACUUUUGGAGGAGUUAAAAUUCAAGCAAGCAAAAGCCACUAAGAUUUUUUGUGACAAUAAUUCAGCAAUUCAGCUAUCCAAGAAUCCGGUGCUACAUGGAAGAAGCAAGCACAUUGAUGUGAAGUUUUAUUUCUUAAGAGAUCUUAGCAAUAAUGGAACAAUUGAUCUGAUUUACUGCAGGAGCGAAGAUCAAGUUACCGAUAUUUUCACCAAGGCUUUGAAGACGGAGUCAUUCAUGAAAUUUAGAAGGUUGCUAGGUGUAUGUACAAUCAAAGACGUAAACUGACUGUUAGCAAACAUCAGUUUAAGGGGGAACUGUUGAAAGUUUAGUCAUAGUUUUCUGUUGGCAGUUGACCUAGUCUUUAGGAGUUUUAAUUCUUUUUAAUUAUAGCAGUUUGCAGGUUGUUUUGAUUUUUAGGAAUUAGUGGAGUAAAGAGUUAUGCUUGCUUUAGGAGUCAUGUGCUCUAUUUUUUUGGAGUAAGUUGAUAAUAGGACUGAUAUGUGUCCUGUUUAAAUGGAUUAUCUGUUAAGUAUUUGCCUAUAUAUAGGCUUGAAGUUAUGAAUAAAAUGACCAAGUUCUCCAG
This 4708-nucleotide long non-coding RNA is filed under the name Solanum tuberosum (potato). RNAcentral's name for it is "long non-coding RNA (STUB_LNC011499)". The record is from RNAcentral. Lineage: Eukaryota; Viridiplantae; Streptophyta; Magnoliopsida; Solanales; Solanaceae.